UUCCAUAGGUUGCCUUUUAAUUUUGCUUAUGACUUCCUUUGCUGUGCAAAAGCUUUUUAAAUAUAGUCCCAUUUGUUUAUUUUUGUUUUUGUUGUCUUGCUUUUGUUGUCAAAUCCAAAAAUCAUCUCCGAGCCCCAUGUCAAGGAGGUUACUGCCUAUGUUUUCUUCUAGGAGUUUUAUGGUCUCAGGUCUUACAUGUGACUCUUUAAUAUAUUUUGAAUUAAUUUUUGUGAAUGGUGUCACACAGGGGUCUGGUUUCAUUCUUUUACAUGUGACUAUCCAAUUUUACCAGGACCGUUUAAUGAAGAGUAAGCGAUCCCCAGUGAAUAUUCUUAGCUCCCUUGUCAAAAUGUUUAUUUCUCAGGUCUUGAUUCUGUUCCACUGGCCUAUGUGUCUGUUUUUAAUGCCAAUACCAUACUGUUUUGAUUACUGUAGCUUUAUGAUAUAGCUUGGAAUCAGGAAGUAUGAUGUCUCUUGCUUUGUUCUUCUUUUUAAGGGCUGCUUUGGAUAUGUGGGGUCUUUUGUGGGUCCAUACAAAUAUUAGGAUUAUUUUUUCUAUGUCUGUAAAAAAUGCCUGUGGAAUAUUGAUAGGGAUGACACUGGGUAGUAUGGACACUUUGACAAUAUUAAUUCCUCCAAUCCAUGAACACAGAUUAUCUUUCCAUUUAUUUGUAUCUUCUUUGAUUUCUUUCAUCAACGUGUUAUAUUUUCAGUGUAGAGAUCUUUCACCUCCUUGCCUAAAUUUACUCUUAAAUAUUUUAUUAUUUUCAGUGCUAUUGAUAUUAUUGUUUAAUGUCUUUUUCAGAUAAUUUGUCAUUAGUAUACAAAAACCCUGAUUUUGUAUGUUCAUUUUGUAUCCUGCAGCUUAACUGAAUUUGUUGAUCCCAUUGAGUUUUUGAUGACAUU
Long non-coding RNA from Neofelis nebulosa (Clouded leopard), 906 nucleotides. RefSeq lists it as uncharacterized. The transcript is spliced from 3 exons. NCBI's taxonomy places the organism in Eukaryota, Metazoa, Chordata, Mammalia, Carnivora, Felidae. The record is from RefSeq and is a predicted model, not a curated record.